This 460-nucleotide ribosomal RNA is filed under the name uncultured bacterium. Its description in RNAcentral is "partial 16S ribosomal RNA". It matches the Rfam family "Bacterial small subunit ribosomal RNA", at positions 338 to 795 of the family's 1533-position model. The record is from RNAcentral.
CCUACGGGUGGCAGCAGUGAGGAAUAUUGGUCAAUGGACGGGAGUCUGAACCAGCCAAGCCGCGUGAAGGAAGACGGCCCUAUGAGUUGUAAACUUCUUUUGUACAAGGGUAAACCUGACCACGUGUAUUCAGCUGAAAGUACUGUACGAAUAAGCAUCGGCUAACUCCGUGCCAGCAGCCGCGGUAAUACGGAGGAUCCGAGCGUUAUCCGGAUUUAUUGGGUUUAAAGGGUGCGUAGGCGGAUUGUUAAGUCAGGGGUGAAAUGUCCGGGCUUAACCCGGGAACUGCCUCUAAUACUGUUGACCUUGAGAGUAGGUGAGGUAGGCGGAAUGUGUGGUGUAGCGGUGAAAUGCUUAGAGAUCACACAGAACUCCGAUUGCGAAGGCAGCUUACCAAUCUGUAACUGACGUUGAGGCACGAAAGCGUGGGUAGCGAACAGGAUUAGAUACCCCGGUAGUC